UUGAACGCUGGCGGCAUGCUUUACACAUGCAAGUCGAACGGUAACAGGCCUUCGGGUGCUGACGAGUGGCGAACGGGUGAGUAAUGCAUCGGAACGUACCCAGAGGUGGGGGAUAACGCAGCGAAAGCUGUGCUAAUACCGCAUGUGAUCUGAGGAUGAAAGCGGGGGACCGAGCAGCAAUGUUUGGCCUCGCGCCUUUGGAGCGGCCGAUUUCGGAUUAGCUAGUUGGUGGGGUAAAGGCCUACCACGGCGACGAUCCGUAGCUGGUCUGAGAGGACGACCAGCCACACUGGGACUGAGACACGGCCCAGACUCCUACGGGAGGCAGCAGUGGGGAAUUUUGGACAAUGGGCGCAAGCCUGAUCCAGCAAUGCCGCGUGCGGGAAGAAGGCCUUCGGGUUGUAAACCGCUUUUGGCAGGAACGAAACGGUGUCCGCUAAUACCGGGCGCUAAUGACGGUACCUGCAGAAUAAGCACCGGCUAACUACGUG
RNAcentral lists this ribosomal RNA (491 nucleotides) under uncultured bacterium. Its description in RNAcentral is "partial 16S ribosomal RNA". It matches the Rfam family "Bacterial small subunit ribosomal RNA", at positions 30 to 507 of the family's 1533-position model. The record is from RNAcentral.